This 497-nucleotide ribosomal RNA is filed under the name uncultured bacterium. Its description in RNAcentral is "partial 16S ribosomal RNA". It matches the Rfam family "Bacterial small subunit ribosomal RNA", at positions 28 to 507 of the family's 1533-position model. The record is from RNAcentral.
GAUGAACGCUGGCGGCGUGCCUAAUACAUGCAAGUCGAGCGAACAGACGAGGCGUUUGCUCCUCUGACGUUAGCGGAGGACGGGUGAGUAACACGUGUAUAACCCACUUAUCAGACGGGGAUAAUUUCGGGAAACCGGCGAUAAUACCGGAGAAUAUAUUGCACCGCAUGGUUCAAUAGAAAAAGACGGCGUUGCUGUCAGUUAUAGCUGGAUACGAGCCGCUUUAGCUAGUUGGUAAGGUAAAGGGCUACCAAGGCGAGGAUGCGUAUCCGACCUGAGAGGGUGGUCGCCCACACUGGAGCUGAGACGCGGUCCAGACGCCUACGGGAGGCAGCAGUCGGGAAUCUUCCGCAAUAGGCGAGAGCCUGACGGAGCAACGCCGCGUGAGUGAUGAAGGUCUUCCGAUCGUAAAACUCUGUUAUUAGGGAAGAACAAAUGUGUAAGUAGAUAUGCACGUCUUGACGGUACCGAAUCAAAAAGCCACGGCUAACUACGUG